CUCCUAUUGAACUGAACAGAACCCCCACAUUCAACCUAUCCCCAGAUGGCUUGGAUCUGAGCGCUCAAUAUAUCCAAACAGCGCUCAGAUCCCACAAAUACGGUCAAAUCGCCAUACACACUAGGUCCAUAGUCAUGGGGCAGAAGGCUGGCAAUUAGGCUUCUCCAUAACACAGGGAAGCAGGGCAAUUUGUCAAGUAAAAU
Molecule: non-coding RNA, 203 nt
Organism: Pelobates cultripes (western spadefoot toad)
Lineage: Eukaryota; Metazoa; Chordata; Amphibia; Anura; Pelobatidae
Source: the annotation of a GenBank genome assembly